AGAGACCGGCGCACGGGUGCGUAACGCGUAUGCAAUCUACCUUUUACAGAGGGAUAGCCCAGAGAAAUUUGGAUUAAUACCUCAUAGCAUAGCAGGAUGGCAUCAUUCCACUAUUAAAGUCACAACGGUAAAAGAUGAGCAUGCGUCCCAUUAGCUAGUUGGUAAGGUAACGGCUUACCAAGGCUACGAUGGGUAGGGGUCCUGAGAGGGAGAUCCCCCACACUGGUACUGAGACACGGACCAGACUCCUACGGGAGGCAGCAGUGAGGAAUAUUGGACAAUGGGCGCAAGCCUGAUCCAGCCAUGCCGCGUGCAGGAUGACGGUCCUAUGGAUUGUAAACUGCUUUUAUACGAGAAGAAACACUGCUUCGUGAAGCAGCUUGACGGUAUCGUAAGAAUAAGGAUCGGCUAACUCCGUGCCAGCAGCCGCGGUAAUACGGAGGAUCCAAGCGUUAUCCGGAAUCAUUGGGUUUAAAGGGUCCGUAGGCGGUUUAAUAAGUCAGUGGUGAAAGCCCAUCGCUCAACGGUGGAACGGCCAUUGAUACUGUUAGACUUGAAUUAUUAGGAAGUAACUAGAAUAUGUAGUGUAGCGGUGAAAUGCUUAGAGAUUACAUGGAAUACCAAUUGCGAAGGCAGGUUACUACUAAUGGAUUGACGCUGAUGGACGAAAGCGUGGGUAGCGAACAGGAUUAGAUACCCUGGUAGUCCACGCCGUAAACGAUGGAUACUAGCUGUUGGAAGCAAUUUCAGUGGCUA
This 756-nucleotide ribosomal RNA is filed under the name Flavobacterium sp. RNAcentral's name for it is "bacterial SSU rRNA". It matches the Rfam family "Bacterial small subunit ribosomal RNA", at positions 90 to 849 of the family's 1533-position model. The record is from RNAcentral. Lineage: Bacteria; Pseudomonadati; Bacteroidota; Flavobacteriia; Flavobacteriales; Flavobacteriaceae.